RNAcentral lists this transfer RNA (94 nucleotides) under Phytohabitans flavus. RNAcentral describes it as "tRNA-Leu". Lineage: Bacteria; Bacillati; Actinomycetota; Actinomycetes; Micromonosporales; Micromonosporaceae. The record is from RNAcentral.
UCCGCGUUGGUUCGGCCGGAGGCAGCGCCGCGCCUUAGUGGCGUGGGGCUGCCUCCGGUGCCGGGCGGUCGGCGUCCGUUGCGGCGGCGCGGGC